Molecule: long non-coding RNA, 444 nt
Organism: Chrysemys picta bellii (western painted turtle)
Lineage: Eukaryota; Metazoa; Chordata; Testudines; Emydidae
Source: RefSeq, a predicted model, not a curated record
CUGACCGUGGAAUCAUUGGCACUGCCGUAUGCCUAAGUAAGAAGGGUGCCUGCUUCCUUUUCCAUUGUCCCCUCAAUACGAUGCGUAUCGGCCGCUGUGGUCUGUUUUGGCAUUGCUGUCGGUGCACUAAGAUUAACUGAUGGCUCCAGAGAUUCUGAAUGCAGGAUCUCUGGGAAUCUGGCAGAGGAUGCCUUGCUUCUGAAAUCGUCGGAGCCUUUUCAUCUGGGCUGUAAAGAAUCUUGUGACCUGGAGAAAACCCACAAGGGAGCCCUAAUUACUCAUAAUGACUUGUUAUUCUCCUUUUAAUAAAAGUAACUUGUUGUGGUUGGGUAUUGUUGGAACGUGAGUGGUGUGCAGGGGCUCUUUAGCUUUUUAUUUUCCAUAAAAAUCAAUUUCUUUUUUCCUCUUAAAAUUAGAAAUAAAUAAAAUAAAGGGUCACUAUUG